RNAcentral lists this ribosomal RNA (632 nucleotides) under uncultured bacterium. RNAcentral describes it as "bacterial SSU rRNA". It matches the Rfam family "Bacterial small subunit ribosomal RNA", at positions 59 to 693 of the family's 1533-position model. The record is from RNAcentral.
AUGUCGAACGGUGUACUGGCUUCUGAUGCUGACUGGUGGAGUAAGGGUGACUUAUACAUCCUAUCGUGCCGGAAAGUGGGGGAUAACCAAUCGAAAGCUUUGCUAAUGUAUGUGAAUAUCUCGAUGAAAGCAGGGGACCGCAGGCCUUGCGCUCAAUAGCGGCCGAUGGCAUAUUAAUGUAGUUGGUGGGAUAAAAGCUUACCAAUCCGACAAUCUGUACCUAGUCUGAAGGACAACCACCCACCCUGGAACUGAAACACGGCCCAAACUCCUACGGAAGGCACCAUUGGGAAAUUUUGGACAAUGGGCGCAAGCCUGAUCAACCCAUGCCGCGUGCAGGAUGAAGGCCUUCGAGUUGUAAACUGCUUUUGUACGGAACAAAAAGACUCUGGUUAAUACCUGGGGUCCAUGACGGUACUUAUUAGAAUAGUGACCGGCUAACUGUGCCCCAGCCCGCGCGGUAAUAUAUAUGGUGCGAGCGUUCCUCAAAUUUACUGGGCGUAACGCGCGCACGCGCGGUAAUAUAUCACAGAUGUGAAAUCGCCGGUCUCCCCCUGCCAACUGCAUUUGUGACUGUACUACUUAAUACAGCAGAGGUGAUGGUCUUCCUCGUGUAGCGGUGUGCUGCGAAA